GCUCCAGCAAAGGCGGCUUCCUGCAGCCCCCGCUCGGAGCAGACACCGCCCGCCCGCUGCCCUCAGAGCCCUCUUCUCCUGCCCGCCCAUCUCCGCAGCCGUGGCAAACACACGCAACAGGAGGCAGGAGAGCAACAAGAUCCCGCUCGCUGCUGCUCCCGGCUCCCAGCCCACAGCUCAUCCCCAGGGCCCGACCUUGUCCGUGCGUGUCCCGCAGCUCCUGCGAUGGGACAAGUCCAGCACAGCCCCGGCUCUUUAUGCAGCCCUGGCUCUCCGGUGGGUGCGGCUUCACCCAUUUCAGAGACAAAAGGUUAAUUCUGGGAAAUCAGGCAAUUUACUGCAGCAGAAAGUGAAACUAUUUUUUAGUGUAUAUUAAUUGACUAGCAGUUGUUCAGAACUUGACCUCUGGCAUCCAACUGCAAGUUUCCACUCAGAAAUAGCAGUGCCUGGCUGCAGCUUUCUUGGCAGGGAACAUCCCACACCUGACAGUAACAGAGCUCUGGGGUUUGGCAGAGGACAUUCAACACCCAACCAGAGCAGGGUUCCUGGAUUGCUUUUCCCUUGGGAUGUGGACACAAUAAUCCUGCUCUAUGACCUCCAAACAGGCACUGGAGUUUGGAUAUGGAGACCUCCAGCCUGCCAGGACCAGCCACCCCCUGCUCCAGGCUGACAAGUCACAAGUGCUGGAGCAGACACAGGUGGCAUUUGUCCGGCCUCAGGGGGAGCCUCAGCCCCUGCCAGGCAGGGCUGGGACACAUCAGCUGCAGAGCAUGGAUUUGGUCCCCCCCUGCCCAGGUUAGCUUAGCCUGGCUCCAGAGGGAUAUUUCCUACACCCAGAGAAUUCCCUGCUGCAGGAGUGUUUCAGGCACAGAAUCUCAGGACCACUGAGACAAAAAGAGUAAGUUUGUCUUACAGAUGUUCACAGCAUGGCUCAGAAGUCACAAAUGACGAGGGCAAUAAUCCCUCAGCACGGGAAUUCCAUGCACUCCCUGGAGGAGCAAGGCCUGAGGGCCAAAAUGAGUUAAAAUCAUCUCCAGAGACUUACCUCCCACCGAGUCUCCCAGGAGGUUGCGGUGAGAAGAAAGUCCCCCCCACCGUGCUCUGUUUCUUCAUGAAAAUAGCCUGUACCCGGUUGGUCUCUUUCCCUUGUUCUGGUUCCUGAGCUCUCAGAUUAUUUGCCCUGUUGCUCUACCCCUCCCCCUGCCUAUCCCAUAUAAAUCCCUGUUUCUGCGCAGCCCGGGGGAGGUGUUCACCUUUCACAAAGUUGCCUCUUAUAAUAAAGGCUUUGUUUUCUGUGGAACCCUGUCGGAGGCUCCUGUCCUUUAUCCCUGCGCCGCCCGAACCGUGACUUCACAGGAGAGCGAGAAAUGCCUAGAGCUGAAGUCACUCGCCGCUAAGGGACGUGCCUGUGCCCCUUGGGACAUCCCCUGCUGGACGCCUCUCCAGGAAGGUGGCGGCAGCCCGGGAAGAAGAGCAGCGGAGCCCCGGAGGGCGGCAAGUGGCCCCCGAAGGCCUCGGGCUUGUAGCCAGGGAGUCCCUGGAGAAGCGUCUGCUGCAGUGGCUGCAGGACUCAGCCGCCUUUGGGACGCUGCUUGUGCCAGGAGAGCCCUGUGCGUUUUAGCAGAGGCGAUGUGAGGAGAGCCCGGGAGCCUCGGCUGCCGUGGGAGAGCAGAAGAGGAGCUCUGAGGAGCGGCCGAUGGGGCUGAGCACCUGCCAGCAGAUUUCCUCUGAGCCUGCGGGCCCCACCCUGCCUGAAGAAAGAUUGUGUGUCCUGAAACGAGACACAAACCAUUUCCAGUACGCCUGCAUGGAUGAAUCAGGAAGAAUGUUCCAAGUGGAAACAGGAGGUCCUGCAUCACGGUAUCUCAGGAUGCAGACUUCCAGAUUGGCUCUGUUGCCCCUGAAGUCUGGGAAUUUGCCCUGCAUGUCCUCAGCAAUGUCUUUAGCCGUCCUCUCAAAGACUGCCUUGCGAAGAGCUGGUUCAAUCUUGUCACAAAGGAAAACAGCAAAAGUUGUGAUUGAAGUGGCUCCUUGGCAGGAAAUCUGGAAACAUUGGAAGAAAUCUUCUCUCUUGCUGCUCAGGACUGAUGCUGCUGCAAUGGCUUAUGAGCAAGAUUUCUUCUCCAUCCCCUUCCCAUCUGGGACACCAUUGCCAUUCACCCCAGCACCCUGCAGCUGCAUGGGAUUGUCACACCUGCCCUGUCCACAGGAAUCUGCCUGCACUCUCUGCCAGUGAUGAUGGUAACUGCACAACAGGGGAAAAGUGUCUGUGGCUGAGAAGGUUGGGAACUCGGUCAUUAUUCUGUUUCUCAUUAAUUCCAUAGUUGCUGUUGUUUUGUUUGUCUUGUUAGAUAUGCUAGUAAAGAUUUGUUAAUCCUAUCCCCCUGUCUUUCCCUGAGAGCAUCUUAAUUUCAAAAUUAUACUAAUUCAGAGGGAGGAAUGUAUUGUCUCCAUUUCAAGGGAAGGCCCUGUUUUUCCUUAGGGGACUCCUGCCUUUUAAACCGGGACAUACAUGGGGCCUGAGGGCAUUGAAGGGAAUGAGUGAAAAAGGAGUAACAGUUCUUAAGCGACCUAAGUUUUUGUGUUAGGUGGCACCAUGUGGCUAGCUUACCCUGGUUUGAGUUGCACCUGGUCACAGCUAUAUCUCUUCCAUUUGCAGGCCCUUGUCUAAACAUGGGUCCUAUAACUAAGGCUACUGUGGCUGUUAUCCAGUUCAUUUUGGGGGUUGAUAAGGUGAGGAAUUAAUGAAUUUUUUGCUUCCUCUGGAAGGCGGGUUCAUGGAUUCAGAGCUAUCACACACUAACUGUAUUUUUUUGAGGUUACUUCAAUAAUGGUACUUUCUGUGAGGAAGUGACAGCAGCAG
Long non-coding RNA from Oenanthe melanoleuca, 2863 nucleotides. RefSeq lists it as uncharacterized. The transcript is spliced from 5 exons. The record is from RefSeq and is a predicted model, not a curated record. NCBI's taxonomy places the organism in Eukaryota, Metazoa, Chordata, Aves, Passeriformes, Muscicapidae.